GGGAGGACAGCAUAGUUGGUUGUUUACUGGUUGCUCUUAGGGAUUUUAUCCAUUAUUCUUUGUGUCUCACGGGCAUGUUGAAGCCAUAUGUGAAGCUGAUCAAGCUACUCCAAGAGUAGCUCCCCCCCGAGCCUGCAGGCUGGAUGUCAGUUGCUGGAGGCAGUGCUCCAUGUGUUCCUCCUGUCUUUCUCCAAGAGCCUCACAGGCACUGUGACGGACUAGGUUCUGCGCCAGACAACAUUUUCAGAAGCGCAUUCCAUCCUGUGGCCUUUAGGGAUGCAUGGUCUCCCCCCAGCUUCAUGUGGCCAAAUGUGCAUCCAUCAUACCAUGAAAAGGUGACAACCAUGGAGUCCGAGAAUGCAAGAACAUGUCUUCUACUGCCAAGGACCAGCUGACACCCACAGAGGCACAGAAUGGGAAAGGCUGCAUGCACCGAAAGGGAGGAAGUUUAUAAAAAGAUUUUUGUUUUCAUUCAUGCUGUGACCUAAGUAACGUCCCAGUUUAAACAUUAAACUCGAGGUCAUUAACUUGUCACAAUGAUUUCUAGUUUAAAAUUUUAUAGUAAAAUAAGAGUUAAGAAGGCAUGAAAAGGCUCAUUAAUUGAUAUGAUAAAGCUUGCUGAAAUGUAACCCUUUCCAUACUUCAUAUAGCUAGAGACAUUGAUUUUAAGUUACAUUGUUGAAACUACAUGCAUCGUUUAAGCCAGUGACUGAUUCAUACCUUAAAGAUGAGACUAUGUAAAAAAUGCAUUUCCAAGAAAAUAAAAUAUCAGGGGUUUGGUUCCUCUUUUGCUAAACCUGAAUAUAUUUUGUGAAAUUAUAGUUUGUUACUUAGAAAAUGUAGGAGAAACAGGCAAUUAUAUGUUGCUCAUUGAGUUGCAAUCUGAUGUCUGUAGCAGAUGAUUUACACAAGAAAAUUGACCAUGUCUCAAGCAUUACUAUUAAUUUUUGCACUUUAAAAUAGGCAUAA
Molecule: long non-coding RNA, 969 nt
Organism: Harpia harpyja (harpy eagle)
Lineage: Eukaryota; Metazoa; Chordata; Aves; Accipitriformes; Accipitridae
Exons: 3
Source: RefSeq, a predicted model, not a curated record